This is a long non-coding RNA of Diabrotica virgifera virgifera (western corn rootworm), 1056 nucleotides long. RefSeq lists it as uncharacterized. The transcript has 3 exons. The record is from RefSeq and is a predicted model, not a curated record. NCBI's taxonomy places the organism in Eukaryota, Metazoa, Arthropoda, Insecta, Coleoptera, Chrysomelidae.
UAACAACACACAACAUUCCAGGAAUGUACUACCAAAGUUCUAUCAAUAUUUGAAUGUCCUGGACAUUUAGGGAACAUUCGGUGAACAUCUGUUUAAAUUAUUCCUGGAAUGUUACCAUAAGACAUUCUGUGAACAUACUACCAAUGUUCCUAUAUUUUAAGUUGCGAAAUAAUACAUACGUGUAAGAGAUACAACAUUACUUAUAACAUACCAGACAAACUAAGUGACAUUUUAGGCCUACAGUGCAAUAAUAUGUCAAAUUUAAAGAGUUUCCCAAGAUUAUAAACAUACAAAUGUAAUAAAAAUUAUUGUUCGCGAAUAUUCAAUUUGGAAUGCGAUUUUGUUAAUAAAAAAAAAUACUUAUAACUUAUGCAAAACCCAAGAGAGGCAUUUAUAUUUAUUUCUUUUGCGUUCAUUUACAAAUUCGCCGUGCAUAUAUUUUUGUGCAUGGCGCUUGAGAGGGCAUCACGUGACUAAAAACGACCAACCAACGACCUCGCUUCGGCCAUCUUGGCAUCUUCAUCUUGGCGACCUUGCCUUGCCGUGGAUUGUUUUUAGUUGUUUAUAUUAUUUGUGCUUUUUAAGAAUAUUUUUUUAAUUCGGAUACUUUUAUAAUAGCUUUAAUAGUAUUAUUAACAUAGUGCAUAAAAUGGUGUCCUGUUUUUAACGCAGUUGGAGUAGCAGAAACAAAUGUAGAUAAAAAAAUCUGCAGGAAUAACGUUUCAAUUAUGACAGAAGCUCAAAACAAAUGACUGUGAAUGAAAAGCCCUAUUAAAAGCUUUCCAGAAGAUCCUGCGAAGAAGACAUGAAGUAUAGAUCAGAUUUGUUAAUAGAGGAGUAUGUUCAAAACACUUUUUAGAAAAUGAUAUUGACAGAACUUCACUUUCAUCUGUUCGUUUGAGAGACUGUGCUGUUCCAAUAGCUUAUGUCACACAGAAUCAGCUGAGAGAAGUGGUCUACAAAAAACCAGAAAGGAAACGGAAUAUGUGGCUACGAAAAGCAAAAGAAAGGUUUACAAAGCAAAUGUGACACAUUUUUUUAUAAUAUUUAGGAAUG